Molecule: long non-coding RNA, 381 nt
Filed under: Androctonus crassicauda
Lineage: Eukaryota; Metazoa; Arthropoda; Arachnida; Scorpiones; Buthidae
Source: RNAcentral
UGGCACUUCAGACUUUUUCCUGUUUUGAAAUUUAAAAAAACAUUUAUGAGGAAGAAGUUUUUUCAAUGAUGAGUUCAUUACUGCUGUGGAAUAUUGAUUUACCUCCAAAUCUGACUUCAUACAAAGAUGGGAUUAAACAACUGUUCCUCAGGUUAGAGAAGCGUAUGUCCCUAGCAGGUGGAUAUAUAGAGAAGGAAGAGUUGGAGAACCAUAUUUCAGAUCCCUUGCACAUCCAUAUCAUGAUGAGGGUAACAACUUUUUGGCCUUUCCUCAUAUACAGUAAGCACCGCUUAUUAGAAUCACAUUGGUUGUAGCCAUUUUGAUUUGAUAACAGACGAUUCUACAAUGCGGCGAUUUUAUUACUGCAUUCGUUUUACAGCC